Molecule: long non-coding RNA, 433 nt
Organism: Erinaceus europaeus (western European hedgehog)
Lineage: Eukaryota; Metazoa; Chordata; Mammalia; Eulipotyphla; Erinaceidae
Exons: 3
Source: RefSeq, a predicted model, not a curated record
UUGUGGUAGUGAGGCUUCACUGCUGCAGGCAGACAUGUUCAUGUAGGAGAAGAGCAGGGAAGACACCACAGCACAGAAGCUUCCCCCAGAGUGCUGGAGGCUGGACUUGAACCUGAGUAUGGCUAGCCGAGCAGGCUCAAGAGUCCCAACACACAUCAUUUCCUGACUGGCUUCUGCCCAUUAUUAGCUACAGGAAGCAGAAGCACAGGUGUGGAAGAUAAAGUGAUGGCCACACCAGGAGAUCAGUUCUCAGUACAUUGUUGCAUAUUAUUAUGCAACAGAUGGCUCAAAGUAGUAGCUAGAAACAAAACGAAGAAGUGGAGCAAUGGCUAGAGCCAUGGAGUUGAAAGCAUGGAGUCCUGCACUGUAUCACAUGUGCCAGAGUCUCUCUCUCUCUUUUGUCUCAUGCGAAUAAAUCAAUCAGUCUCAAAAU